AUUUAGAAAAUUAUCUGAAAUGUCUUAUUUUUUAUUAUGUGCCAAUUGACACAUUUGUGUAAUUCUAUGAAAUUAUAUAUCACUAUCUUCCCUAGAAAAUGCCUUCUAUGUGAUUCUAUUUUUUAAACUUCAGUUAUAUAUGGGUAGUCUUAAUGGUCGCUUUGCCUUAUUUUUUGAAGUUUCCACAUGAUUUUACAAAUCAACCUGCUUCAUCAGUGUCAGGAACAUGCUCAAAGCCGUCCAGUGUUGGCAGAAGAGGAGGCUUGGAAACGUUGAUGUAGAAGCAGAGACUGAAAGCUCUGGGAUCUCUUAGGCAUGAAGAAGCACGACCCCUUUGUUUUGGAGUUGAUUCCAAAAUAUGCACAAAGAUCAUCAAAACCAGCUGGGACUGAGAAGUAACCACAGCCACCUCUGCAAGGAUCAGGCCUACACAGCCUUCCAGCAGCUUCACCCAGGUGCAACCUUACAGCAACCAUGCCUUGGAAUAUAUGCCACAUACCUCUCACUCUCUGACCUGGGUCUUCUUGGACAUUGUGGUGUCGGAUGCUCCGGGGAACUGGGUGACCACUUAUGCUCUUGCAAUCAGAAAAUGAAGAGCAAGGGCUGCAAAGACUACCUUGAUCAAUGAGGGAAGGAAGCUAAGGGACUCAUGCUUUCUGCCUUUCAUGCCAUGGGUGACAGUUCUAAGGAGUGCAGUCAUGUGCCCCUGAUAGCAGGGACAGGUUCUGAGGAACGGGUCACUAGGCAAUUUUGUCAUUGUGCAUCGUAGAGUACACUUACACAAACCUAAGUGGCAGAGCUUACUACAUGCCUAGGCUACAUGGUAUAACCUAUGGCUCCAAGACUCUAAACCUGUACAGCACGUUGCUGUACUGAAUACUGCAGGCAACUGUCACACAGUAGUAUACCUUUUCUAUCGAAACAUAGAAAGUAUAUAUUAACAAUAUGGUAUAAAAAUUAAAAAUUAUAUUCCUAUAUAUGGAACUUAUCAUGAAUGGCGCUUACAGGAUUGGAAGCUGCUCAGGAUGAGUCAGUGAGUGGGUGGUGAGUGGACGUAAAGGCCUGGAGCAUUACUGUACGCUACUGUAGACUUCUUAAACAAGAUGCUCUCAGACUACAUUAAAUUUAUUUACAAAUUUUUCUUUCUUAAAUAGUAGAUUAACUUCACUUACUUUAAUAUUUUUACUUUUUAAAGUUUUUGUCUCUUUUGUGAUAAUGCUUAGCUUAAAACACACAGUGUAUAGCUGAAACAAAAUUUCUUUAUAGCCUUAUUCUAUAUAAUUUAUUUUCUAUUUUAAAAUUAUUUUAUUUUUAAUUUUUAAACUCUUUUUGUUAAAAACAAAUAUACAAACAUACACAUCAGCGUAGGCCCACACAGGCCCAAGAUCUCCAAUAUGACUGUCUUGCACUCCCACCUCUUUCCCACUGGAAGAUCUUUGAGGCGCUAACACCCAUGGAACUGUCAUCUGCUAUGAUAAUAACGCAUUCCUCUGGAUACUUCCUAAAAGACCUACUCAAGGCUGAUUCACAGAUUUUUUCCCCCCUCAUGAGUGAAAGGAGUAUACUCUAAAAUAGCAAUAAAAAGUACAGUAUAGCAAAUACGUAAAGCAGUACCAUAGUUAUUAUCAUCAUCAAGUAUUACGUACAGUAUAUAAUUGUGUGUGCUAUGCUUUUAUGUGACUGGCAGCACAAUAGGUUUAUUUACACCAGCGUCACCAAGAACAUGAGUAAUGCAUUGUGCUACGGUGUUAUGACAGCUAUGAUGUCACUAGGUGAUGAGAAUUUUUCAACUCCCUUGUAAUCUUACGUGGCCACUGUCAUAUAUGCAGUCCAUCACUGACUGAAAUGUUGUUAUUCAGUGCAUGGCUGAAUCUCAUAGAGCUGGACAGAAGGUCCCAUGAGUGCUCAUUCAAUUGGUUUUCCUUCCCUGUGGUUCUGAUAUCUCAUUGCCAAAAAAUAUCUGCACAGAAAUCUUUAUCUUGGGCUGUGCUUUCAGAUUAUGACUCUUGGGCUAUAAUAAUUUUAUUCAGAUAAACAAUAUAGUAGUUUUCAAGAUUUUGGUUUUAGAAUCCUUUAAAAUCCUUUUCUUGAGGUUCAGAUAUACAAUAUAGCAUAUAAUUUUACUCAGAUAUACAAUAUAGCAGUUUUCAAUGUUUUGGUUUUAAGAUCCUUAAAUAUUUUUUUUGAGGAUCCUUUUAUGAGUACUUUGGUCUUGUGAUUAUACUUUAAGAGUAUAAUCUUUAAAACUAAUUACCCCAAAGAGCUUCUUAAUGUGAGCUAUAUCAUUGAUAUUUACCACACUAAAAAUGAAAAUUUGAAAUUUUUACAUUUGUUUAUAAAUUCAUUUAAAUAUAUUAGUAAAUUUAUUCCAGGUUAAUAUAAAUAAUGUUUUAUGAAAAAGAAACUGUAUUUUCCAAAACAAAGUAAAAACCUUAUAAGAAGAGUAGCAUUAUCUUAUUCUUUUGCAAAUGUUUUAAAUGUCUGGUCAAAUAAGAGAUAGCUGGCAUCUCAUAGUUGCUGCUGUAGUGAGUCUUUGUAAUAUAUGGUUUUAGUUCAAGUAUCUGAAAAAAAUCCAGCCUCACAGAGGAGAUGUAGUUGAAAAAGGGAGGAGUAUUGAGUAGUCUUUACAGGUAAUUGUGGAUGUUCUUCUUUGAUACAGCACCAGAACUCUGUAAGUGGUAGAUUCUUGAAGGUUAGUUGUAAUGUAAAAUCUGUACUUUUAUC
This 2724-nucleotide long non-coding RNA is filed under the name Callithrix jacchus (white-tufted-ear marmoset). RNAcentral describes it as "lncRNA (ENSCJAG00000080368.1)". The record is from RNAcentral. Lineage: Eukaryota; Metazoa; Chordata; Mammalia; Primates; Cebidae.